RNAcentral lists this unclassified non-coding RNA (250 nucleotides) under uncultured fungus. RNAcentral describes it as "partial contains 5.8S ribosomal RNA, internal transcribed spacer 2, and large subunit ribosomal RNA". The stretch from base 1 to 52 matches the Rfam family "5.8S ribosomal RNA", at positions 103 to 154 of the family's 154-position model. The record is from RNAcentral. Lineage: Eukaryota; Fungi.
AACGCACAUUGCGCCCUCUGGUAUUCCGGGGGGCAUGCCUGUUCGAGCGUCAUUACAACCCUCAAGCUCUGCUUGGUAUUGGGCACCGCCUCCCCCACGGGGCGGCGUGCCUCAAAGUCAGUGGCGGCGCCUUCCGGCUCCAAGCGCAGUAAUUAUUUCUCGCUCUGGUGCUCCGGUCUGCUCCUGCCAGCAACCCAAACUUUUUUUAAUGGUUGACCUCGGAUCAGGUAGGGAUACCCGCUGAACUUAA